AAAAAUAAUUCACUAAGAGAAAAGAUUACAAGGUGAUUACCGACUCCACGGACUCAACCUCUCUUAACCUCCGAUGAAUCUCGCGCAAUCCUCCGGAUUGUCCACGCCCACACGUUCGAAUCCACGAACGCCUCGCACACGUCCGAAUCCACGAACGCCACUCGAAUCCACGAGCCCACGAUCCGAAUCCACGAACCGCCGUCAAUCAUGCCGAAUCCAUGACGCCAUCAU
This 231-nucleotide long non-coding RNA is filed under the name Ananas comosus (pineapple). RNAcentral's name for it is "long non-coding RNA (ACOM_LNC035502)". Lineage: Eukaryota; Viridiplantae; Streptophyta; Magnoliopsida; Poales; Bromeliaceae. The record is from RNAcentral.